Molecule: long non-coding RNA, 607 nt
Organism: Bos taurus (domestic cattle)
Lineage: Eukaryota; Metazoa; Chordata; Mammalia; Artiodactyla; Bovidae
Source: Ensembl
GGGCCGAUGCCGGCGGCGGGGCGGGGCCCAGGUGGAGCCCCUGGACCGAACCUCGCCACACCCGCCUGACAGUGGAUGCCGCUCUCCCUGGCCCGUCCUGUCUUCUGUCUCUCCCAGCUCUCCGCUGAGCCUCCGCGCUCUCACCCCCUGUCUGUCUGUGAUAUGUAACGACAGCUCAGCUCAUCUUUUGCCAUUUUGUAUAAUGCCAGCCCUGACCUUCAUGGCCCAGUCAACUUCACAGCCCAGAAAUGGACACAUUUGCAACAGUUUGGAAAACAGUGCCCUUGACUGAGAGCCCUCUGAGGACGGGGCCCUCUGUGACUGGCGCCGGGUAUGGCACACAGCAGCGUUCAUUGAAGGUUUGCGGAUUGUAGCAAACAAGGAGAGAGGCGGGGCAGGGCGUGGCGGUGGAGGUGUCUGAGAGUCUGUGAGGUGUUAUCGUAAUGAGAAUUAUAAAACUUGGAUGUCCCUUGUUGCCCAAGCUGCCAGAAAGUUCAAGCAAAAUCAAAAGCUUACCCCAGAGACUAACUUAACUCUCAUAGUUUUUUGCUUUUUAAUUUUAUUUACCUAUUUAUCUAUGUCAAUUUUUUGAGUUGCUUCAUGUUCU